This 3245-nucleotide long non-coding RNA is filed under the name Lathyrus oleraceus (garden pea). RNAcentral describes it as "Pisum sativum (pea) long non-coding RNA (PSAT_LNC037496)". The record is from RNAcentral. Lineage: Eukaryota; Viridiplantae; Streptophyta; Magnoliopsida; Fabales; Fabaceae.
UUCAAGAGCUACUUCAAGUCUGAUAUGAGUAUCGGGAAAUCAACUGCAGGUUAUGGACGAAGGGUGGAUGAGUUUUUUUGUAUAUAUUUUGUAUGAAAGGUGAUAUGAAAUGCAUGAUGAUUGCAGAUGCAAUGAUAUGUGUAUGACUUGUAGUGACACAUUCAGGAUCACAGGUUCAAAGUAUUUUCAUAUGGAUCAGAAUAACGGGUAAAUGACAGGUAUCUCUGAUUAAUAGAACCCCAUGGGUAGGCUCUACAGUUGGUAGGUUCCCAGAGUCAUGGAUAUUUCUUGAGGACGUCACUGCCGUGACGAAGACUCGUCGAGCAAUAGUAUCCUUAAGAAGAUCUCGUCUAGGUGAGGUCUUUGUAUUAUCCCAACAAGGAAAACUCCAUGAGGAUUCUACUACAUGACUCUCGACAGGUCCCAAGAUUGUUCCAAGAGUCUCAGUAUCAUCGAGGUUGGAAAUAUUACUGUAAGAUAGUAAUACGUCCAAGGGAUCUCAUCUGAUUGGGGCUUUCGUAUUAACCCAACAAGUCUGAAACUUGUAGGUUAAUACUACAUAACCAUCGGAUAUAAUGGGUUAAAAGGUCCCUAGAGUCAUUGAUCCAUCUUGAGAAUACUAUCGUCGUGACGAAGACUCGUCAGGCAAUAAUAUCUCAAGAGAAUCUCCUCUAGGCGGGGUCUUCGUUUCUUCCCAACAAGGAAGACUCCUUGUGGGCGCCCACUACACAACCACCAACUUAAUCUUAUGGUUUUUCUCAGACUCGGGUAGAGAGCCUAUCUCACAAAGUAUCACCACCUAGAGAACCCCAAAUAAGACAUAGUCAAUAAAUCACAAUAUAAUAAUUAUGACAGAAUAAUAAUAGCAGAAUAAAAGAUAACAGAUAAACAAACAAGAUUAACACACAAUAUAGAAACUGAACUAAAUUAGGCUUCACUCUCUUUUGCUUGGAGCUAGUCCCCAGCAGAGUCGCCAUCUGUCGCAUCUCGAAAAAUACGAUUCCUCGCGAUGGUCGCGGAAAAAUUUAAUGUUCGAACAGAGUCGCCACCGAACUUUAUUUAUCCCAAUGAAGGGAUAGGGAAAUAUCGAUAAAACCUUUAGGAAAUGGAAUAAUGGUCGUCACAACCAUAUUCGGGUUCGGGAGUGGAUUACGUAAGGGGAAGGUAUUAGCACCCCUUACGUCCGUUGUACUCAACGGGAACCUUUUAAUUCUAAUUUGCAUUUCGUGUGUUAAUUUAUGUUUGUUUGUUAUCGUUGGGUUAUNUUACAUCCUAAUAAUUUUACUCAAUACUUUUCAAGGUGAAAAGACACUACAACGAGUCCUAAGUAGCCAACAUCCCACAUUGAAAGAUCUCAUAAAAUAUUCUCAUAAAAUACUUUUUCAGUCAAAAGGAAAACAACAUAAUGCAAUUGGCCCCAACUAUAACAUGUGAGUUUACUUAUUAGAAUAUUCAUGGCUAACUUCAGCAUAUUUUAUUACAAUUAAAAUUCCUUAUGUUCAUUUCUAGUUUUCAUUAACACUUACAAAAGUAACCACCUUAUUUUCAUUGCACUCCCUAUUUCAAAUACGUGUGUUUGUAUAUGAAACAAUGAAAACCUUUUAAUUAUUUUUGAAAACAAUGAAGUAAUAAUUUUGUAGAAACUUGUAAUUAUUAGUAAACACAAGAAACAUUAUCUCAAACCAAACAAGUCCUAAAUAACUUAAAUCAAUAACAUUUUCUCAUGCCAUGACUAAUAUUAAACUCAAAGGAGGUUUCUAGCUGAAAAAGUGAGUGUACUAUUUUCUUAGUAUGAAAAAUGACGGCAUAUGAAGAUUCAUAACAAAACUGUCAAACGUAAAGUCUAAGCAUGCCAAUAUAUAAGCAUGUUAUAAAUUUAAGAUGGUGUUAACACAAGAGAGUGAUUGUAAUUUACAUGCAAGUCAAACUAAUAUCAACACAAAAUAUAUUCUCAACAUUGCAUAAGUGUCACACCAUCAAAAAUCCAGCGCAAACAUGGAAUAAUCAGACCACAAUAGAUAACCGAAAUACGCACAUCAAUACAAAAACACUAACCCAAUCUGAAUUGACCCAAAUAAAUAUCACCACCUUAGCUCAACAGAAGCCCCUAGCAAGAUUAAUAUGAAACUGAGCAAAACCGAAACCUGUACAUUCGAGAAUCAUAACAUGUUGAAAACAACAGCAACACACUUAAACCAGUGACAUACAUAUCAAACACUAAAAGAAUGAAACGGAAAAUGCCGACAUGAUACGCACAAACAGCAAAUGAAAAAUAAAUUAGAACAUGGUAAACAGAGAUAAUCAAAUUGAAAAAAAACCACUUGAACCUCGAUGGAUGACGUUGAUCUUGCUACAUAUCCAGUUGUUUUCCGUAUUGAGCUCGAGACAUUGAGUAUCGUUACACACAAUAAUGACGAUGAAGACGGAGUAACUUACCGUUGAAGAGAGGUUGACAGCGUGAGAUGCAGAUUCAAUACCGUUAAUGGUGCGGUUGAGUUCGGAAACAGAAACAAUGUUGUCGUUGGUUCGUGUUGCUGAAACGGAAUGUCAACACGGCGUCGUUGUUAGUUGGAUGGAGUUCUGUCCAAAAAUAACAAGGUUAAUGCGCGGUAGCUCUUCGAAUCGGACCGAGUUUCGUGGUUGGGAUUUGAAGAGAAAGUCGUUCACGAUGUAGAUCGGCAGACCAAUAGAGAAGUGGUUUCGGUUGUUUGUUUGGUGGCGGAAGAGGGUUCAAAGGGGAUUUUGGCGAUUGAGAAUGAGAAAGGGAUAAUCGUGUUGGUGAGCUUGGUUUUUCAUCGGUGAAGACGAUAAAGGUGGUGGUGAGCGGUGAAGCAGAAGGUUUGUGUGGGUUUCCGGCGACUGGAAGAAGGUCGUCGCCAGCGUCGCUGAAUAUUCAGAGUGAUGGGUUAUUUUAUGAUGGUGAAGGCAAGACGGCGAGUUGAAGCAAACUAAGGGAGUGAAGCGAAUAUUGUGGUGCGGUUGUGUGCCGGCGGAAGGAGAAAGAAGAAGACAUUCAGAAAGAAACCUUUUCUUGUGUCUGUUGGGUUUUUUUUAGCCAAUGAGAGAGAAGAGUAUCCUUUUCUUUUCUUUUCGUUGAGAGUCUCUCAGUGAGGUACUGAAUAGUGAGUGGGUUAUAUGAAUGAGGUGAGACUGAGAAAGAGUUAAAGUGAGUGAGGUGAUAGGUGGCGUGUGUUGAGAGAGAUGGAGGUAGCGUGAAGGUAAGAGAUACGCAAGCUGGAUACCAG